RNAcentral lists this long non-coding RNA (250 nucleotides) under Lathyrus oleraceus (garden pea). RNAcentral's name for it is "Pisum sativum (pea) long non-coding RNA (PSAT_LNC037890)". The record is from RNAcentral. Lineage: Eukaryota; Viridiplantae; Streptophyta; Magnoliopsida; Fabales; Fabaceae.
AUCUUUUUGUUUUUUUACAUUUUUACUUUUAACAUUUAUAAUUCACUGUAUUGUAGCUCAUCAAUCGGAGGAUGAUUCAAGUUCCGAUUUUGAUGAUUACCAACCACCUUUUUCAAUUAAUGGAAAUAGUCCUACAACUUCUGAAGGUAAUCAUAAUUAAACAACAAACUUAUAUUUUAAUAUAGUUCUCUUUUAUAACACUAUGCAUGUUUUCACAUGAUAUUACAAUAUUGGGGAUCCUCUAAUUGAG